AAAUAUAUGGCAUAGUUGGCCAGAGCGCUUGGACAGUUCCAGGAGGCGCGGGUUCAAAUCCCGCUACGUUCC
This 72-nucleotide transfer RNA is filed under the name Heliconius melpomene (postman butterfly). RNAcentral describes it as "tRNA HMEL009512". It matches the Rfam family "tRNA". From Rfam's summary of the family: Transfer RNA (tRNA) molecules are approximately 80 nucleotides in length. Their secondary structure includes four short double-helical elements and three loops (D, anti-codon, and T loops). The record is from RNAcentral. Lineage: Eukaryota; Metazoa; Arthropoda; Insecta; Lepidoptera; Nymphalidae.